Molecule: long non-coding RNA, 1111 nt
Filed under: Homo sapiens (human)
Lineage: Eukaryota; Metazoa; Chordata; Mammalia; Primates; Hominidae
Description: HSALNT0186976
Source: RNAcentral
GCAAGAAAAGAAACUAAUUCUACAUGUGUAGUGGGGUUAUCUAAAACACAGAUAGACAUUAAUAAGAAAAACAUAGAAACUGAUUUCUGGGAAACCCUGAAAUGAUGUACACUAGGAGUUUUUGCUUUCGUUAUAUAGAACUGAUGGAAAACAGACAUCUCUUUGACCUUAUUUCUUUUUGAUGUAACUAAACGCAAGUCUUUGAAAUUUCUGGGUCUCACUAUUCCCACACAAGAAAUAAUAUGUUUUCCUCAGAUCCAGAGAUGACCAGGUAAUAUUACUUGAGUUGCUUCUUCCAGCAUCCAGAAAUGAAUUUGCUGGAUAUUUCCCAUCCACGUCCCCUCCCACAUAUUUCAAGUGUGGUUUGGGAAAAACUAGCAGAACAGAAGAAUCUUUCUCCAUGAUAAUUCAGAUAAUAUGGUUCAUUGUUGCUACUGUGUUAGAGAACACUCUACAGAACGCGUGGAUGAACAGAAGCACGAAGAGUCAGAAGCCUACUGCAAAUAAUCCAGCUUCCCUGUGGAAAGUGAAUUGAAAAGGGACUUAACCAGAGAUGGAGACAGGAGGCUACUGCAGCUGUCCAGGCACAAAAUGAAGAUGGCAGCAGGAAGAAACUGGCAGUAUGAGUGGAGAGGAGUGAGCAGCUCUGCCAGGCUGUCCAGGUGAGGGCGGUACGGGGGCCCAGGUGAAUGCCACUUCUAGUUGGUAGCCGCUUAGAGAACUGUGCCACUCAUGGAGAAAAGGGGCUCUGAGUUAUUUUAAGGAGAGGCUGCUGACGACAUCAAGACUCAGUUUCCCUGCAACAUAGCACACUCAGAUCGGAACAAUCAAGAAAGGAAAAUACCAGGGCCUUCCAGGGGAAGCCAGAAAGGGCCUGGCUGCCUGUCACCACCUGCACCCAAAGCACUGAUAUUUUCUUGAUAUGUGUGUUUAUUACUUUGUUCUCCCUUACUUUGUGUCAAUGUUAAACACGAGGGCGUCAUCAACGAUAAAAACAAGAUAAACACGAGACACUUCUAGAAUCAAUGAUACAGUUAAUAAAAUGAGGGGUGACGGAGGGGAACAUUUUCAAGGAAAACUUGCCCAAAUAAAAAUUGUUUUCUGUUAAAAC